RNAcentral lists this ribosomal RNA (636 nucleotides) under uncultured bacterium. RNAcentral describes it as "bacterial SSU rRNA". It matches the Rfam family "Bacterial small subunit ribosomal RNA", at positions 607 to 1244 of the family's 1533-position model. The record is from RNAcentral.
GCUCAACCGGGGAGGGUCAUUGGAAACUGGGGAACUUGAGUGCAGAAGAGGAGAGUGGAAUUCCACGUGUAGCGGUGAAAUGCGUAGAGAUGUGGAGGAACACCAGUGGCGAAGGCGACUCUCUGUCUGUAACUGACGCUGAGGCGCGAAAGCGUGGGGAGCGAACAGGAUUAGAUACCCUGGUAGUCCACGCCGUAAACGAUGAGUGCUAAGUGUUAGAGGGUUUCCGCCCUUUAGUGCUGCAGCAAACGCAUUAAGCACUCCGCCUGGGGAGUACGGUCGCAAGACUGAAACUCAAAGGAAUUGACGGGGGCCCGCACAAGCGGUGGAGCAUGUGGUUUAAUUCGAAGCAACGCGAAGAACCUUACCAGGCCUUGACAUCCUCUGACAACCCUAGAGAUAGGGCUUCCCCUUCGGGGGCAGUGUGACAGGUGGUGCAUGGUUGUCGUCAGCUCGUGUCGUGAGAUGUUGGGUUAAGUCCCGCAACGAGCGCAACCCUUGAUCUUAGUUGCCAGCAUUCAGUUGGGCACUCUAAGGUGACUGCCGGUGACAAACCGGAGGAAGGUGGGGAUGACGUCAAAUCAUCAUGCCCCUUAUGACCUGGGCUACACACGUGCUACAAUGGGCAGAACAAAG